Long non-coding RNA from Cyprinus carpio (common carp), 1358 nucleotides. The record is from Ensembl. Lineage: Eukaryota; Metazoa; Chordata; Actinopteri; Cypriniformes; Cyprinidae.
CAGUAAGUGAUGGUUUGGGGUGCCAUGUCAUCUGCUGGUUUUGGUCCACUGUGUUUUCUGAGGUCCAAGGUCAACGCAGCCGUAUACCAGGACUUUUAGAGCACUUCAUGCUUUCUGCUGCUGACCAACUUUAUGUAGAUGCAGAUUUCAUUUUCAUUGGCCAGCAAACUCGCCUGAUCUUAGCCCCACAGAACAUCUAUGGGGUAUUGUGAAGAGGAAGAUGCGAUAUGCCAGACCCAAGAAUGCAGAAGAGCUGAAGGCCACUAUCAGAGCAACCUGGGCUCUCAUAACACCUGAGCAGUGCCACAGACUGAUCGACUCCAUGCCACGCCGCAUUGCUGCAGUAAUUCAGGCAAAAGGAGCCCCAACUAAGUAUUGAGUGCUGUACAUGCUCAUACUUUUCAUGUUCAUACUUUUCAGUUGGCCAAGAUUUCUAAAAAUCCUUUCUUUGUAUUGGUCUUAAGUAAUAUUCUAAUUUUCUGAGAUACUGAAUUUGGGAUUUUCCUUAGUUGUCAGUUAUAAUCAUCAAAAUUAAAAGAAAUAAACAUUUGAAAUAUAUCAGUCUGUGUGUAAUGAAUGAAUAUAAUAUACAAGUUUCACUUUUUGAAUGGAAUUAGUGAAAUAAAUCAACUUUUUGAUGAUAUUCUAAUUAUAUGACCAGUACCUGUAUAUAUAUCUCAAAUGGUGAAGAGAUAUGCGUUGAAAAGGACCUAAAUGCAUCCUUUACCUCAAGCUUCAGGUCUUCUGCAUCAAUCCAGCUUCCCUUCAUUCUUAGUGCUUCUCAUUAUUUCAAUAGAGUAGAGAAAUCCAUAAAGCUUGUAGAAGAUUUCCAUGUUGGAAAAUCUGUCCUCUAUUGUGACAAGAGCAGUAUCUAUUAGAGGCAGAAAAAAACUCUCUUUUGAAGAGCUCUUCUGCAGUUAACUGAGUCUGCUCUGUUCCCUCAUACUUAAACUGUUUAGUUUUUUUUUUCUCUGACGCACCACUGCCCAGCUCAUCUAUCUUCAAGCUUCUCUGCUCUCUCCCUAGCAUCUGUUUUAGCAGAAUUAAAUCCAUGAUUGCGAAAUUCCUGAAGAAAUUCUUUCACUGCCCUGAUUUCUUCCCUCACUGUCUUGACUGAAACUUUGGGGUUUUGCAGGAUCGUACUUACUUCAUUUAUCUGGAAUAACACACUGUACCACACGAUGGUACUUACCACAAAAGGCCAUCUCUACAGCUCCAGGCAGAUGCUUUCAGCUGUUGAGACAACAUCUGCAUCUGGUUUUCUGUGGCGUACUCCUUUAGAAUAGUUAAUGCCUUUACAAUUUCAGGCAUCUGGUAACAAAUAGCAUUAACAGUUCUAACUCUACACUCCCACCUAG